This 428-nucleotide ribosomal RNA is filed under the name uncultured bacterium. RNAcentral's name for it is "bacterial SSU rRNA". It matches the Rfam family "Bacterial small subunit ribosomal RNA", at positions 355 to 774 of the family's 1533-position model. The record is from RNAcentral.
UGGGGAAUAUUGCGCAAUGGGCGAAAGCCUGACGCAGCGACGCCGCGUGGGUGAUGAAGGCCUUCGGGUCGUAAAGCCCUGUCGGGAGGGACGAAACCUCGGUGACCUAAUACGUCACCGACCUGACGGUACCUCUUAAGGAAGCACCGGCUAACUCCGUGCCAGCAGCCGCGGUAAUACGGAGGGUGCGAGCGUUGUUCGGAAUUACUGGGCGUAAAGCGUGCGCAGGCGGUUUUGUAAGACAGAUGUGAAAUCCCCGGGCUUAACCUGGGAACUGCGUUUGUGACUGCAAGGCUGGAGUACGGCAGAGGGGGGUGGAAUUCCACGUGUAGCAGUGAAAUGCGUAGAGAUGUGGAGGAACACCGAUGGCGAAGGCAGCCCCCUGGGCCUGUACUGACGCUCAUGCACGAAAGCGUGGGGAGCAAACA